This 354-nucleotide long non-coding RNA is filed under the name Vigna radiata. RNAcentral's name for it is "long non-coding RNA (VRAD_LNC016687)". The record is from RNAcentral. Lineage: Eukaryota; Viridiplantae; Streptophyta; Magnoliopsida; Fabales; Fabaceae.
GGUUUUCAUGAACAGUCGCCCAAGAAUUAAAGGUGCAUCCCCAUUUUCUUCCAUCUCCAUAACAACAAAGUCCACUGGAAACAAGAAUUUAUCAACCUUGACAAUCACAUCUUCAGCAAUUCCAUAAGGAUAUUUGAGGGAUCUAUCAACUAAUUGAAGAACCAUUCUCGUUUGUUUGAGCUCUACCCCUUUUAACUUUUUAAACAUAGUCAGAGGAAUCAAAUUUAUGUUGGCUCCUAAAUCGAUCAAAGCUUUCCCAACCUCUAGCUCUCCAAUAGCACAAGGAAUAGUGAAGCUCCCUGGAUCAGAUGAUUUAGGAGGUAAUGACCGUUUAAUGAUAGCACUGCAAUUCCC